This 68-nucleotide transfer RNA is filed under the name Marilia sp. XG-2021. Its description in RNAcentral is "tRNA-Phe". Lineage: Eukaryota; Metazoa; Arthropoda; Insecta; Trichoptera; Odontoceridae. The record is from RNAcentral.
UAUCUAAAAAUAUAAAAUUAUUUUAAUAUCUUCAAUAUUAUGCUUUAGAGUAUUUAAGCUAUUUAGAU